AUGGGUCACGUCGCCGACCGCCUGAGCAACCUCCGCGACGGCGUGAUCGGCCACAUCCUCGUCCACACCGUCUCCCUGGAGCAGCCGGAGCGGCCCUACUUCAUCUACGACCGCGGCAGCAUGUACGACCGCGGCGUGGCGCGGCGCCUCAUCGCCGCCGUCAAUGCCGCCCUCUUUUCGCGCUACCGGCGCCCCUACCCUGCCGCCGCCACGGUGCCCCUGCGAGCGCUCCGCGUGUCCCUCGAAGGGUUCAACCCCGACGACAAGUCCGGGGUGGACCUGUGCCUCUCCUACGCCCUGAGGCAUGCCGCCCCCGAGUUCGACCUCGACUUCCGCUUCGGCCGCGACUCCGCCUGCGGCCGCUACGACCGCUUGGACGCCGCCGAUGCUGAUAACGAUGACGAUGUCGCCGCCUAUAGCCCAGUCGAGGUUCGAGCCGUCGCUGUGAGUCCGCGGAGGAAGUCUCCCGAGUCCGACGACCAUUCCCACGGGGUGCGCCCCGAAGACGAAGACGAAGACGAUGUCUCGUCCAGCGACGACGAUGACAAGAGGGUUGCUCGACCGUGGAAUCGGCCGUCCCUGGAGUACACCGUACUAAGUGGGCUCUUGUCCUGUGCCACGCUGCGAUCCCUCCGCCUCGGCUACUGCAGGCUCUCCCCGCCGGUGGCCAUCAGCCUGCCGUCGCUCGAGGCGCUCCACCUCACCCACGUCCCCGACGAGGAGGAGCACGUGCAGAGGCUCAUCUCCGCCUGCCCGCGGCUUGCGGACCUGACGCUCGAGGCCUGCGGCACGGUGACCGCACUCUCCCUCCUGGACAACGCGUGCCUCCGUAGGCUGGCCAUCCGGUGCUGCCACAAGCUGGCCAGCCUCGCCGUCGACGCACCAGAGCUCCACUCCUUGGAGUACCGUGGCCCUGUCCCCGACGACUCAUUCCUCACCGUGCGUGGGGGCGGCGGCGGCGGCUUCCCGGCCGUCACGUCGUGCAAGAUCGACAUCCUCGAGGAGGCCACGUCGGAGGAGGAGCUCGCCAAUCUUGGCUCGUUCCUGCAGCAGUUGGCCUCGACCACGAAACACCUCCGCCUACGCUCCGCUCGCAUGGCGCCUCGCGCCGACGGCCACUUCGCGGACGCUGGGCACAGCAAGGGGGAGCUCCUCGAAGCGCACCAUCUGCACUACUCCCGGUACGACAGCCUCGACUACGCGCCGGCGGUGGUCCCGCCGUGCCUUGGAAGCCGGGUGAGGAAGGUGGAGUUGCUGCAGUACCAGGGCGGCAGAGCGCAGAGGACGCUGGCCAGGUUCUUGCUCCGCAACGCGCCGGUUCUUGAGCAGCUCUACUGUGGACUCGCGGAUGGGCCGGAGUGGGUUCAGAGGGAAUUGAUACUCCCUAAUUUUGGAAUCCUUUUAUUAUAUCUAUUCAAUUGA
RNAcentral lists this ribosomal RNA (1422 nucleotides) under Triticum aestivum (bread wheat). RNAcentral's name for it is "partial small subunit ribosomal RNA". The record is from RNAcentral. Lineage: Eukaryota; Viridiplantae; Streptophyta; Magnoliopsida; Poales; Poaceae.